This 301-nucleotide ribosomal RNA is filed under the name uncultured bacterium. Its description in RNAcentral is "partial 16S ribosomal RNA". It matches the Rfam family "Bacterial small subunit ribosomal RNA", at positions 509 to 807 of the family's 1533-position model. The record is from RNAcentral.
CAGUCGCCGCGGUAAUACAGAGGGUGCGAGCGUUAAUCGGAUUUACUGGGCGUAAAGCGUGCGUAGGCGGCUUUUUAAGUCGGAUGUGAAAUCCCUGAGCUUAACUUAGGAAUUGCAUUCGAUACUGGGAAGCUAGAGUAUGGGAGAGGAUGGUAGAAUUCCAGGUGUAGCGGUGAAAUGCGUAAAGAUCUGGAGGAAUACCGAUGGCGAAGGCAGCCAUCUGGCCUAAUACUGACGCUGAGGUACGAAAGCAUGGGGAGCAAACAGGAUUAGAUACCCCAGUAGUCCCUGUCUCUUAUAC